Non-coding RNA from Malus domestica (apple), 2688 nucleotides. Lineage: Eukaryota; Viridiplantae; Streptophyta; Magnoliopsida; Rosales; Rosaceae. The record is from RefSeq and is a predicted model, not a curated record.
GAGCCCAACCCAAAAGACUAAUCCAAUAGGUGGGAUGACCCCAAUGACUUAAGAACCCUACAAUCCCAUAAGUGUAGUCAACGUGGGAUCAUAACACUGUAUUUCCUAUAGUUCUAGGCAGGUAGGUUGUAUUUUCCGACAAAAUUUUGUUUGGCUGAUGAGAAACCUGAGGAAAAUAAUAGAAAGAAGAGAAAUUGGAGUUGGUGGGGUGAAUUAAAUAGUCAAUUUUCUAUUCUAAUUACUUUAGAGUUCAAUGAAUUCUUUGAAUUAAGGUCAGCAAUUUGCAGUUCCAUUGAAAUCAAAGGCUUUGGGAAAUUAAACCCUAAUUGAAAUUGUAUCUUGUCUACCUAAUUUCGUGGUUGUCUUGUCUGUUUAGUGAAAUACUGAAAUUUAUAAGAGUUUGGUGAGUUGAAGUGAAAUUCUUCAGAUUAAAAGUUAUCAGCUUCGGUUUCGUCUCUUACGUUUUCUCGGCAUUUAUGUGCCCGUUGGAUUGGAGAACAGGAUGACUGCAAAGGUUGGCGCUGCAUCCGCAGUCGAACCUCGCACUGUUGAGAUGUCUGGUACAACGAUGACACCUGCAUCAUCAGCUGGUACACAAAAGGUCUCCAUGUUUGCUGCCAGGGCUGGAUUUGUUAUACCGAAAAACAAGCUAUCGGGUUCACUUGUGCCUGUCUUUCGCGGAAGUAAAACCCUAGGAGCUGGUGAUGCGCUUAGUGGAGAAAGUAAGAAACAGAUUCAGAGGAAAACAAAAUGGGGCCCUGAUCUCACCCAGGAUGCUUCUGUCAAAAAGGGAAGAGCUUUAGCUUAUCAGACUCGGGUGGAUCAAAUUACACAAAAGGCUGAAAUCUGGAAUGUUAGAGGAUGAGAAUGAUGAGGACCUACUAUCAGCACCUCAAGAUCUGCACCACAAAUCCAAAUCCUCUAAGCAUGAAAUUGACAAAAAAGUUGGAACUUGAAAAGCGGGAAGCCAUAGGUGCGUUUGACAGCUUUCUUAGAUUAUAUGGUUAUACCUUCUUGUAUGUUAUAUUAUGGAUUGCAUGAUAUUGUUUUCUUGACGAUAUUCAGGUGAGAUAUUAAAAGCUAAAUCCAAGCUACAAGGCCCCACCUGAUUAUAAACCUUUGUUGAAAGAGGCUACAGUCCCUUUUCCUCUAAGUUUAUCUUCUGGUUCUGCAAUUCUCUGCAACUCUUUUCUAAUUAACUGUUUAGGUAAUAUAAGUUAUUUUAUCAUGGUGUGAAAGUGUUCUGUCCAUCUUAGUUGUAUUGAUUUAAAAUGAAACUUACCCAAGAAGAAUAUGUAUGUGGAAUUUUCAAUCUGGACUCAUAAGUGGCAGUCUUAUCGUUCACUUCUACAAUGAUAAGUAUGGACCUUAAAUCUGAACAGGUUGGCCAUAAUUUGGGGUUGAGGGUGAAGAAUGGGCCACAGAGUACUACAUGAAUUCGAAAUAGCUGGUUAAAGCUUUGCAACUUAUGGGUACAAUCCCUAUUAAUCUGGUGGAAUAGUUUAGAUUUACUCAUUUACUUUAAGCAUAUUUAGCAUUGCUUUUUCGGUUGGUUCCUUCCGUACUGGUGUUGGUUUGAAUCCUGAUAAUAUUGAUCGUAAGUUCACAUAAUAAGAAUUAUUUGGUUGCUUUAAGAACUUUCACCAAGCGGCUAGGUUGUUUAGAGCUCCUGUUGCGAAAACAGUCCAUCUAGAAAGAUGGCUGUUGUUGCCCAUGUUUUACCUCCCUGAACCCACAUUGCGAGAGCCACAUGCAUUCAACUGCCUUUUUAGGAACUUCUAGUAUGAGUUGACAUGUCAUUAUUUCACACAGAGAUGAACGGACUGUGGAUACAACCAUUUUAUUACUAAGAGUAAAGAUUGCAACGGGUUGCUAUGUUUGUUGACCAUUACUUUUACAAGGUUUCCUUUGGCCAGGGGUGGAAGGUGGGGACCUAAAGACAGGAGCAUAUAUUAUCCAGUUUCAUGGUUUGCUGAAUCGGCCAGUAUUUGAAUUCUGUUGCUUAGAUGUUUUUAAAUGCUUUUCAGAUGAAGGAAUAUCCUAAAUACAAUUUUGUUGGCCUGAUAUAUGGUCCUGGAAGUGAUAACCAGAAACAAUUAGAAAAGGAAACUGGAGCCAAAAUUCAAGUCUAUGGUACCAAAGCUGGGACAGGACAUAAGGCUAAAUAAAACCAUCUGAUGGGAGUGAAAUCCAGGGUGAAUAUGAAAACCUAUACGUUCAUGUAUCAGCUGACACAUUACAGAUAGUAGAUGCAUUGCUGUAAUUGAACUCUUAGUCACCUCUGUAUCAGGAAAUCUGGCAGCGGUUAGCAAUAUAGGUGCUUCAGUUUCUGGUGAUAAUGCUCAUGUUCCCAGUGAAGUCCAGGACACUACCACCUCUAAUAUGGUUCCGACUACUGUGGUAAAUCAUGGAAUGGUACAACCAUUGCCAAACUUGGCACAAACUUCACUGGAUGGGCAGUUUCGGUACCCUGGUCCAUUUUUCUCGAGCGGCGCAUCUUCCGCUCCCAUGAAUAUGCCUGGCUUCACUCGGCUGAAUUCUUCGAGACCAAUCCUCAACAAUCCUUCCCAUCUUUCAACAUCACCUUUCGACCCUGCAUACCUGCCUUCGUCAUUUGGGCUUCAGCCGUCUCUUGUUUGCCCUAGACAAAAUCCACCAACAACACAAUUUUUGCCGCAUACAUAUAUG